Small nuclear RNA from Protopterus annectens (West African lungfish), 169 nucleotides. RefSeq annotates it as U1 spliceosomal RNA. The transcript has a single exon. The record is from RefSeq and is a predicted model, not a curated record. NCBI's taxonomy places the organism in Eukaryota, Metazoa, Chordata, Ceratodontiformes, Protopteridae.
AAUCUGGAAUGCCAGGGGAUAUUGAUUUUGGGAUCAUACAAAUUUUAGGUACCAGGGCAAUUCUCUUCCAUUGCACUUUGGUUGGGCUGACCCCAGUGGUUUCUCAAAAUGUAGGAAAUUCAACUGUAUAAUUUAUGGUAGUGGGUGACUGUGUUUGUUCUGUUCCCGA